UCGUAAACCUGAUGGUAGCGGCAGCCCCGAAGCAUGAGGGCUACAGCGAACAGCAGGGCUGUAA
Molecule: small RNA, 64 nt
Filed under: Pedobacter alluvionis
Lineage: Bacteria; Pseudomonadati; Bacteroidota; Sphingobacteriia; Sphingobacteriales; Sphingobacteriaceae
Description: Flavo-1 RNA
Source: RNAcentral